UACGGAGGGUGCGAGCGUUGUCCGGAAUCACUGGGCGUAAAGGGCGCGUAGGCGGCCUGGUAAGUCGGGGGUGAAAUCCUGCGGCUUAACCGCAGGGCUGCCUUCUAAACUGUCAGGCUCGAGCACAGUAGAGGCAGGUGGAAUUCCCGGUGUAGCGGUGGAAUGCGUAGAGAUCGGGAAGAACAUCAGUGGCGAAGGCGGCCUGCUGGGCUGUUGCUGACGCUGAGGCGCGACAGCGUGGGGAGCAAACAGG
This 253-nucleotide ribosomal RNA is filed under the name uncultured bacterium. RNAcentral's name for it is "partial 16S ribosomal RNA". It matches the Rfam family "Bacterial small subunit ribosomal RNA", at positions 524 to 776 of the family's 1533-position model. The record is from RNAcentral.